RNAcentral lists this ribosomal RNA (484 nucleotides) under uncultured bacterium. Its description in RNAcentral is "partial 16S ribosomal RNA". It matches the Rfam family "Bacterial small subunit ribosomal RNA", at positions 30 to 507 of the family's 1533-position model. The record is from RNAcentral.
AUUGAACGCUAGCGGGAUGCUUUACACAUGCAAGUCGAACGGCAGCGCGGACUUCGGUCUGGCGGCGAGUGGCGAACGGGUGAGUAAUGUAUCGGAACGUGCCCAGUAGCGGGGGAUAACUACGCGAAAGCGUAGCUAAUACCGCAUACGCCCUACGGGGGAAAGCAGGGGAUCGUAAGACCUUGCACUAUUGGGGCGUCCGAUAUCGGAUUAGCUAGUUGGUGAGGUAACGGCUCACCAAGGCGACGAUCCGUAGCUGGUUUGAGAGGACGACCAGCCACACUGGGACUGAGACACGGCCCAGACUCCUACGGGAGGCAGCAGUGGGGAAUUUUGGACAAAGGGGGCAACCCUGAUCCAGCCAUCCCGCGUGUGCGAUGAAGGCCUUCGGGUUGUAAAGCACUUUUGGCAGGAAAGAAACGUCGCGGGCUAAUACCCCGUGGAACUGACGGUACCUGCAGAAUAAGCACCGGCUAACUACGUG